This 497-nucleotide ribosomal RNA is filed under the name uncultured bacterium. RNAcentral describes it as "partial 16S ribosomal RNA". It matches the Rfam family "Bacterial small subunit ribosomal RNA", at positions 28 to 507 of the family's 1533-position model. The record is from RNAcentral.
GAUGAACGCUGGCGGCGUGCCUAAUACAUGCAAGUCGAGCGAACAGAUGAGGAGCUUGCUCCUCUGACGUUAGCGGCGGACGGGUGAGUAACACGUGGAUAACCUACCUAUAAGACUGGGAUAACUUCGGGAAACCGGAGCUAAUACCGGAUAAUAUAUUGAACCGCAUGGUUCAAUAGUGAAAGACGGUUUUGCUGUCACUUAUAGAUGGAUCCGCGCCGGAUUAGCUAGUUGGUAAGGUAACGGCUUACCAAGGCAACGAUGCGUAGCCGACCUGAGAGGGUGAUCAGUCACACUGGAACUGAGACACGGUCCAGACUCCUACGGGAGGCAGCAGUAGGGAAUCUUCCGCAAUGGGCGAAAGCCUGACGGAGCAACGCCGCGUGAGUGAUGAAGGUCUUCGGAUCGUAAAACUCUGUUAUUAGGGAAGAACAAAUGUGUAAGUAACUAUGCACGUCUUGACGGUACCUAAUCAGAAAGCCACGGCUAACUACGUG